Molecule: ribosomal RNA, 484 nt
Filed under: uncultured bacterium
Lineage: Bacteria
Description: partial 16S ribosomal RNA
Rfam family: Bacterial small subunit ribosomal RNA
Source: RNAcentral
AUUGAACGCUGGCGGUAUGCUUUACACAUGCAAGUCGAACGGCAGCGCGGGCUUCGGCCUGGCGGAGAGUUGCGAACGGGUGGGUAAUACAUCGGAACGUGCCCAUUAGUGGUGGCUAGCUCGGCGAAAGCCGGAUUAAUACCGCAUACGACCUGAGGGUGAAAGCGGGGGAUCUUCGGACCUCCCGCUCUUGGAGCUGCCGAUGGCAGAUUAGCUAGUUGGUGGGGUAAAGGCCUACCAAGCCGACGAUCUGUAGCUGGUCUGAGAGGACGACUAGCCACACUGGAACUGAGAAACGGCCCAGACUCCUACGGGAGGCAGCAGUGGGGAAUUUUGGACAAUGGGCGCAAGCCUGAUCCAGCAAUACCGCGUGUGUGAUGAAGGCCUUCGGGUUGUAAAGCACUUUUGUCGGGAAAGAAAAGGACUGUGCCAAUACCACGGUUCGAUGACGGUACCCGAAGAAUAAGCACCGGCUAACUACGUG